GAACUACACGGUUACAAAUAUGGUACUUACACUUGUUAUACAAGUCGUUUUAAAACACUGGAACAAAUUCCAAACGUGUCCCAAUUAGUCUUUAAUUACACUAUAUAGCGUGUAUAAGCCGCCGUUAGAAGUCAAUAGAAGCGCGAGAUUUGCGUGUUCCAUCAGCUUUGGGCUGCAUUACAACACAAAAGGAUGAGACCUGAGGUGCAGACUGCAGGUCCGAGCUCUUGUUUUGUAUCAAAAGCUCCAUGCGCAUACCAGCAUCAGCAGGGGGAGAAGACUAGAACCUGCUUAUCCACAGCUUGAUUUAUCCUUACUGAAACAACAACAACCUGUUAGUUGUCAGUAGUUUGACAAACUGAACGAAUGCACACAAUAUUUAUUAAUUUAAUACAAAGAAAAAUCAUGAAGUGAAAGAGGAGAGAGCGGUUUGUUUAUUGUUUAUAAUCAUGUUCAAGUCUGAUAAAAAAUAAAAAAUGAUUCUUGUAAAAUUUCUUU
Long non-coding RNA from Silurus meridionalis, 498 nucleotides. RefSeq lists it as uncharacterized. The transcript has 3 exons. NCBI's taxonomy places the organism in Eukaryota, Metazoa, Chordata, Actinopteri, Siluriformes, Siluridae. The record is from RefSeq and is a predicted model, not a curated record.